GAAGCCACUGGGAACACUCCUCAUAAAGAGUUCUGUAGCUAAACGCUUGCCUCAGCUUCCCAACUUCUGCCGCCAUCGAUAAGAAACUUGGCUUCUGUUCCCAUGAGGACCCAGUGCAGGUGACAACAGGGGCCUCCCCAGUGUUCCUUCCCAGCAGNNNNNNNNNNNNNNNNNNNNNNNNNCCAGCGUUCCUGAGUCCCAGUAUUGGCUCUAUGCAGUUCUGUGACCGUGGAUGUGUCACAGCCCCUUUCCCAAGCAGUUUCCUCCCCAGUUCCUUAAGUGGGGAACGUGGUUACAGUUCCCCGAACAAACCCAGUCUCUGAAGACUACAGACACAGCUAACCCCAGGACAUGGAAUUGCUCUCUCUGCUGGGGACACCCCAUAGGUUGGACAGACAUUGCCAAGGUUUCCAUGGGCCAGGCCUGCUGGCCCUGCUAGCCCGGGUUGACAGUGUCCGUGCUCUGCUGAAGAGACUAGAGCCCACAGGAAGUGGAUGCAUUAGACCAGUUAGGAGGCAGAGGCGUCUCAUCAGCUAAAACACUGGAGGGGCGACCAUGAGGACCAGGAAGUUCUGCCUGGCUCCAUGCCAUGUCUAAACACACCCUCAGAUCCGGAUGAGGUGUAGACAGUGUUCUCAGGUUGUGACUACCAAAACUGACUGGAUGAGGUGGCGUAGUCCCCACGAGCUCACCCACACACUCACCCUGGAAGGACAAAUGUAAGAGCCAGGUGGUGGCAAACGGUGGGAUGC
RNAcentral lists this long non-coding RNA (752 nucleotides) under Cricetulus griseus (Chinese hamster). RNAcentral's name for it is "lncRNA (ENSCGRG00000026573.1)". The record is from RNAcentral. Lineage: Eukaryota; Metazoa; Chordata; Mammalia; Rodentia; Cricetidae.